CGGACGGGUGAGUAAUGUCUGGGAAACUGCCCGAUGGAGGGGGAUAACUACUGGAAACGGUAGCUAAUACCGCAUAACGUCGCAAGACCAAAGAGGGGGACCUUCGGGCCUCUUGCCAUCGGAUGUGCCCAGAUGGGAUUAGCUAGUAGGUGGGGUAAUGGCUCACCUAGGCGACGACCCCUAGCUGGUCUGAGAGGAUGACCAGCCACACUGGAACUGAGACACGGUCCAG
RNAcentral lists this ribosomal RNA (232 nucleotides) under uncultured bacterium. RNAcentral describes it as "partial 16S ribosomal RNA". It matches the Rfam family "Bacterial small subunit ribosomal RNA", at positions 99 to 334 of the family's 1533-position model. The record is from RNAcentral.